Long non-coding RNA from Dama dama (fallow deer), 1591 nucleotides. RefSeq lists it as uncharacterized. The transcript is spliced from 3 exons. The record is from RefSeq and is a predicted model, not a curated record. NCBI's taxonomy places the organism in Eukaryota, Metazoa, Chordata, Mammalia, Artiodactyla, Cervidae.
CUGCUCCAGCAGCUGCAAGCUGCCGGCGGGGAGGAGAAAGCAAAGGUGACAGAGUCUGCCGAUCACUGAGCACUGGCUGUCCAGCCUGAUCGCCCCGACUCCUUCCAACAACCCCACUUCACAGACAGGGAUGUAAGGGUCGGAUAACUAAAGGCAUGACACGGGCUCAUAACAGGAUAGGAGACCACGCUCAGGGAAAAGAAGGGAACCACGCAAACCCAGCCGCCAGGGCAGACCUGCUUCAGGCUCAGCUCUGAGCUCAACAGCAGCCGGGAUACAGCUGUGCCCUGUCCCUCGAAUGCCACCCCUGAGACAUCUGUCCUGCAUACCUUCUUCGAGGGCCCCCUCUUCUGAGAAGCCCUCCCUGACCACACUCCAGACCACACCGUGAAAACCGCCACCUGUGCUGUUUCUGUGUGCCCGACACCAAGCUGCUGCCUCUCAGGGCGUCGUGUCGUGUGACCCUCACAACACGCUUCCCAAGCGGGCACUCUCGCCGUCACCCACUGUGCCCGUGAGUAACUGGGGGCCAGAGAGGUAACCUCAGCCCAGGUGGCGGAGCUGGGAGACGGUGGAGGCAGACGGGAACGCAGCCAGUCUAACCGUUCCAGAACCUGACUCCCCCUGGACCGAGAGCUUCUUGAAGGCCAAGGUGAUAUCCCAUCCAUGCUUGCGUCCUGAUGCCUGGUACAUAGUAGAUGCUCAGUCAGUGUUUGAACCAUAGUCUGUGGGGCCAGGAGGAGGCUGAACCGCUGGCUGUGGGGCUGACUCUGUCCUGCAGACGGGCCUGAUGGCAAUCUCAUUUACGGAAGUGAGAACCAAGGCUCAGAGAUGGUAAGUGACUUGCACAAAGCCGCACUGCAAGGGAGGAAAGUCCAGCUGGGCAGGCAGCCCCAGGGGGUGCUGGGAGCGGCGGUCCCUAGAGGGAGCACGUCUUCCGCGAGGGAGGGACUGGAGGCGAGGCUGUGUUGUUGAUGCGCCAGCCACCCAGUGGUGUCUGACUCUUUGCGACCCCAUGGACUGUAGCCCACCAGGCGCCUCUGUCCAUGCAAUUCUUUAGGCAAGAAUACUGGAGUGGGUAGCCAUUCUCUUCUCCAAGGGAUCUACCUGACCAAGGAUCGAACCUGGAUCUCCCACAUUGUUCAGGUCAGUUCAGUGGCUCAAUCGUGUCUGACUUUUUGAGACCCCAUGGACUGCAGCACGCCAGACUUCCCUGUCCUUCACCAACUCCCAGAUCUUGCUCCAACUCAUGUCCAUUAAGUCGGUGAUGCCAUCCAACCAUCUCAUCCUCUAUCGUCCCCUUCUCCUCCUGCCUUCAGUCUUUCCCAGCAUCAGGGUCUUUCCUAAUGAGUCAGUUCUUCGCAUCAGCUGGCCAAAGUGUUGGAGCUGCAGCUUCAUCAUCAGUCCUUCCAAUGAAUAUUCAGGACUAAUUUCCUUUAGGAUGGACUGGUUGGAUCUCCUUGCAGUCCAAUGGAUUCUUAAGAACCUUCUCCAACACCACAGUUCAAAAGCAUCAAUUCCUCAGCACUCAGCUUUCUUUAUGGUCCAACUCUCACAUCCAUGCAUGACUACUGGAAAAAAACAUAGCCUU